GAAGUGCGACAAGUGUCAUGACUUGCAGAUUCCCGAGAGCUGACAAAUUUCUGAAUACAAACGGUGGCCGUUCAUAGCGGCCAUGUAUUGCAGAGUGUAGUUGUUCAUACUCAUCAUCCCAGAAGUGUUCCGCUUCUGAAUGGGAUCUGCACUUACGAUCUAUCGUGAGUGUGAAACUCGAGUGCCCAGUGUGGAGGGGGCUCCCAUUCACUUGGGGGUCUUCUUCUCUCUGGGCUACUUCGGUAUCAUUCGAAGUUGAAACUCCUAUCUUACACAGCCACCUCUGCGAUGCAGGAGAACCCGCUGAACUUAA
This 313-nucleotide unclassified non-coding RNA is filed under the name uncultured fungus. RNAcentral's name for it is "sequence contains ITS1". The stretch from base 1 to 100 matches the Rfam family "5.8S ribosomal RNA", at positions 50 to 154 of the family's 154-position model. Lineage: Eukaryota; Fungi. The record is from RNAcentral.